UGGCCCACCUAGGCCCACGAUCCCUAGCUGGUCUGAGAGGAUGACCAGCCACACUGGAACUGAGACACGGUCCAGACUCCUACGGGAGGCAGCAGUGGGGAAUAUAACACUGUGGGCGCAACGCUGAUGCAGCCAUGCCGCGUGUAUGAAGAAGGCUUCGGGUUGUAAAGUACUUUCAGCGGGGAGGAAGGCGAUGGGGUUAAUAACCCUGGCUAUUGACGUUACCCGCAGAAGAAGCACCGGCUAACUCCGUGCCAGCACCCGCUGGUAAUACGGGGGGUGCAAGCGUUAAUCGGAAUUACUGGGCGUAAAGCGCACGCAGGCGGUGUGUUAAGUCAGAUGUGAAAUCCCCGGGCUUAACCUGGGAACUCAUUUGAAACUGGCAGGCUUGAGUCUUGUAGAGGGGGGUAGAAUUCCAGGUGUAGCGGUGAAAUGCAUAGGAGAUCUGGAGGAAUACCGGUGGCGAAGGCGGCCCCCUGGACAAAGACUGACGCUCGUAGGCGAAAGCGUGGGGAGCAAACAGGAUUAGAUACCCUGGUAGUCCACGCCGUAAACGAUGUCGACUUGGAGGUUGUUCCCUUGAGGAGUGGCUUCCGGAGCUAACGCGUUAAGUCGACCGCCUGGGGAGUACGGCCGCAAGGUUAAAACUCAAAUGAAUUGACGGGGGCCCGCACAAGCGGUGGAGCAUGUGGUUUAAUUCGAUGCAACGCGAAGAACCUUACCUACUCUUGACAUCCACGCAAUUUGGCAGAGAUGCUUUAGUGCCUUCGGGAAGCGUGAGACAGGUGCUGCAUGGCUGUCGUCAGCUCGUGUUGUGAAAUGUUGGGUUAAGUCCCGCAACGAGCGCAACCCUUAUCCUUUGUUGCCAGCGAUUCGGUCGGGAACUCAAAGGAGACUGCCGGUGAUAAACCGGAGGAAGGUGGGGAUGACGUCAAGUCAUCAUGGCCCUUACGAGUAGGGCUACACACGUGCUACAAUGGCGCAUACAAAGAGAAGCGACCUCGCGAGAGCAAGCGGACCUCACAAAGUGCGUCGUAGUCCGGAUCGGAGUCUGCAACUCGACUCCGUGAAGUCGGAAUCGCUAGUAAUCGUGGAUCAGAAUGCCACGGUGAAUACGUUCCCGGGCCUUGUACACACCGCCCGUCACACCAUGGGAGUGGGUUGCAAAAGAAGUAGGUAGCUUAACCUUCGGGAGGGCGCUUACCACUUUGUGAUGACUGC
This 1221-nucleotide ribosomal RNA is filed under the name Pantoea agglomerans. Its description in RNAcentral is "bacterial SSU rRNA". It matches the Rfam family "Bacterial small subunit ribosomal RNA", at positions 261 to 1474 of the family's 1533-position model. Lineage: Bacteria; Pseudomonadati; Pseudomonadota; Gammaproteobacteria; Enterobacterales; Erwiniaceae. The record is from RNAcentral.